Molecule: ribosomal RNA, 273 nt
Filed under: uncultured prokaryote
Description: partial 16S ribosomal RNA
Rfam family: Bacterial small subunit ribosomal RNA
Source: RNAcentral
UACGUAGGGGCUAGCGUUAUCCGGAAUUACUGGGCGUAAAGGGUGCGUAGGUGGUUUCUUAAGUCAGAGGUGAAAGGCUACGGCUCAACCGUAGUAAGCCUUUGAAACUGAGAAACUUGAGUGCAGGAGAGGAGAGUGGAAUUCCUAGUGUAGCGGUGAAAUGCGUAGAUAUUAGGAGGAACACCAGUUGCGAAGGCGGAUCUCUGGACUGUAACUGACACUGAGGCACGAAAGCGUGGGGAGCAAACAGGAUUAGAUACCCUGGUGGCCUGA